RNAcentral lists this ribosomal RNA (310 nucleotides) under uncultured bacterium. RNAcentral's name for it is "partial 16S ribosomal RNA". It matches the Rfam family "Bacterial small subunit ribosomal RNA", at positions 503 to 807 of the family's 1533-position model. The record is from RNAcentral.
AAGAGACAGCAGUAGCCGCGGGAAUACAGAGGGUGCAAGCGUUAAUCGGAAUUACUGGGCGUAAAGCGCGCGUAGGUGGUUCGCCAAGUUGGAUGUGAAAUCCCCGGGCUCAACCUGGGAACUGCAUCCAAAACUGGCGAGCUAGAGUAUGGUAGAGGGUGGUGGAAUUUCCUGUGUAGCGGUGAAAUGCGUAGAUAUAGGAAGGAACAUCAGUGGCGAAGGCGACCACCUGGACUGAUACUGACACUGAGGUGCGAAAGCGUGGGGAGCAAACAGGAUUAGAUACCCCUGUAGUCCCUGUCUCUUAUAC